This 210-nucleotide ribosomal RNA is filed under the name Triticum aestivum (bread wheat). RNAcentral's name for it is "partial small subunit ribosomal RNA". The record is from RNAcentral. Lineage: Eukaryota; Viridiplantae; Streptophyta; Magnoliopsida; Poales; Poaceae.
AUGUUUACUAUUCCAGUUAAGUCCCAUCUCAUCCAUGGCCUUGGCCGAUGUGGCCCCAACAGUAAGCUGAGCUGUUUGGGUGUGAUAACACAUGGCCGAUUUCGUCCAGCGCUGGCUGGUGAAUUAUUGCCCAGGGCCCCCACCCUGACAUCCACGAUGAAUUAUUGGUCUUGUAGUACAAAUUACCUCUCCUUGGCUGCAUGUGGCUAG